Long non-coding RNA from Solanum tuberosum (potato), 1463 nucleotides. RefSeq lists it as uncharacterized. The record is from RefSeq and is a predicted model, not a curated record. Lineage: Eukaryota; Viridiplantae; Streptophyta; Magnoliopsida; Solanales; Solanaceae. The transcript has 3 exons.
UUUCUCACUCCAGCACGUUCUUGAAAAAUGGUGUACGCUCACUACUGUUGGUCAGAGCAGGUGCAGGGUAAAACGUAUCUCAGCCUUUUACCUCAUGUUUUGUAUAAUUAUAUACCAAUUUUUUUCUCGUAUCAUUGAGAUAAUUUACACACUUUUUUCAUACAUCUAGAUUUGUAUCCUGACUAAUUAUUUGUAAGGUGACUAAAUUUCUAUCCAAUAGAUGCAAUUGGACUGAUUAUUUAGGAGGUAAUGCUAUAGUGCUUCGACCGUAUGAUCAAAACCUCCUUAGUUUAUUUUCCAUAAAGUGCGGUGUUGGGUGCUUGAAGUGUCAAGAGCACCAUGUAGACAACUUUACUCUCUGCUAGUUUGAAAACUUGAAAGCGAGAACAGACUGAACAGUGCCUGUCUUAAGGUUUAACUUUUAUAGUGCGCCAUUGUAUUUGGCACUCGUUUAUUUUCAUGGGCAACAAAAGAAGGAAACUAAUUCAGACUUGCUAAAAAAAAAAGAAUUCAUUGUUCUGCUAAUCUCAUCGUCAUUGUAUAUUUCUCUCUUCUUCAAUGACAUAUGGUGAUUUCCAUAGUCCUUCCUUGCCUUCAAUCGGGAAACUGAAAAAACAGCGUGAAGAAUUCCAACAUCGUUUGGAGGAAUUGAGGAAUCUAAGGGAGAAAAUACGAGCUCUAGCAAGGGAGAUGCAAUCAGUCACUCGACUCAUAUAUUGCAUCCUUAUUCUCGUUCAUCAGACUCACUCUGUUGGUAUUUGAAAAUCAUAAUUUAUAUAGUUAUAUUUUCAUUCUAUGCAUUUUUAAAAUGUUAGAUGCACUCUUAGAUCUAAAUAAUCUUCACUUUUUCAGGAUCUUAGUUCAUUAUAUUACAUAAAGAUUAAACUUGUUAUCCAUUUAAAUUGGUCAGGUAAUUUGGACUGGUGCUAUAAUUUGAGUUUUGAUGCAAUUUUAGAUCUAAAUAAUGAUUAAACUCGUUAUCCAUUUAAAUUGGUCAGGUAAAUUGUUAGAUGCAAUUUUAGAUCUAAAUAAUCUUCACUUUCUAAAGCUCUAACAGAACCUGAUUCUAUAAGUAUUUAUGAUGCUUGCCGCAGGAUGGCUGCUCGCAGAGUUGAUGCUUUAUUGCUGACUGACUCGAAUGCAUUACUAUGUGGUAUAUUAAUGGAUAAGUUGAGCAUCGUAGACCACUACAACAAUUGAAAAAGACAUUGUUGAUGCUACUAGUAGCUAUGCAGGUCUAUCUAGGUGAGCAGUACGUAAAUAAUUAUACGCUAUCUGAUGUGACAUUUUUAGUUGAAGGUAGCAGCAGUUUUGUGAUUCAAAUAUUGUCAUCUUCUUCAUAUCAUGGUGUUCUCGAAAUGGGUAUACUCAAAAGUAUUGUAUGUUACACGUGCUUUUAGCCCAUUGACCUGAAAUUUUGUACUCAUAAAAGACCAUAAAUACUUAGCUCUUUCCUUAAUGUA